This 30-nucleotide non-coding RNA is filed under the name Mus musculus (house mouse). Lineage: Eukaryota; Metazoa; Chordata; Mammalia; Rodentia; Muridae. The record is from RNAcentral.
UCACUAUAUAGACCAGGAUCUCUCCAACUC